AGCUUUGCGCAGUGGCAGUAUCAUAGCCAAUGAGGUUUAUCCGAGGUGUGAUUAUUGCUAAUUGAAAAUACCACCCUAAAUUUGCUUCCCUUUCUAUUCUGUAGUAAACACUAAAGAAUCCAUUCUGGCCCUGUGCUCCCA
Molecule: small nuclear RNA, 141 nt
Organism: Neogale vison (American mink)
Lineage: Eukaryota; Metazoa; Chordata; Mammalia; Carnivora; Mustelidae
Product: U4 spliceosomal RNA
Exons: 1
Source: RefSeq, a predicted model, not a curated record